RNAcentral lists this ribosomal RNA (606 nucleotides) under uncultured bacterium. Its description in RNAcentral is "bacterial SSU rRNA". The stretch from base 1 to 522 matches the Rfam family "Bacterial small subunit ribosomal RNA", at positions 338 to 873 of the family's 1533-position model. The record is from RNAcentral.
CCUACGGGAGGCAGCAGUGGGGAAUAUUGCACAAUGGGCGCAAGCCUGAUGCAGCGACGCCGCGUGAGGGAUGACGGCCUUCGGGUUGUAAACCCCUUUCAGUAGGGAAGAAGCGAAAGUGACGGUACCUGCAGAAGAAGCGCCGGCUAACUACGUGCCAGUAGCCGCGGUAAUACGUAGGGCGCAAGCGUUAUCCGGAAUUAUUGGGCGUAAAGAGCCCGUAGGCGGUUUGUCGCGUCUGCCGUGAAAGUCCGGGGCUCAACUCCGGAUCUGCGGUGGGUACGGGCAGACUAGAGUGAUGUAGGGGAGACUGGAAUUCCUGGUGUAGCGGUGAAAUGCGCAGAUAUCAGGAGGAACACCGAUGGCGAAGGCAGGUCUCUGGGCAUUAACUGACGCUGAGGAGCGAAAGCAUGGGGAGCGAACAGGAUUAGAUACCCUGGUAGUCCAUGCCGUAAACGUUGGGCACUAGGUGUGGGGGACAUUCCACGUUUUCCGCGCCGUAGCUAACGCUAUUAGUCCGCCCGCGGAGGGUACGCCGGCCGACGACGAACUUAAACGUAAAGUAGUACGGCGUCGAGAGACGCGACGACGACGACGACGGAGGAG